This is an RNA transcript of Dromaius novaehollandiae (emu), 7118 nucleotides long. RefSeq lists it as uncharacterized. Lineage: Eukaryota; Metazoa; Chordata; Aves; Casuariiformes; Dromaiidae. The record is from RefSeq and is a predicted model, not a curated record. The transcript is spliced from 6 exons.
GCUUGAUCUUAUUAUAUGUGGUCACUGAUAGCAAUUUUGUAAGUGAUCACUGGGGCAGCAUAGAUCAAACUUUUUAUGUUAUCUUUGAAUCAAAAUGGAUGGCACAGUCACAAUUCUCUGUUAGCCCGAAUGCUUAUGUGUACAUGUGCAUGCUCUAAACUGUCCAGCUGAGAACAGCACCACCCAAAGUCACUGUAAACACUAGCAAAGAUGGGGACGCUUUCAGUCAUGUGACAGUAAUACUGUUUCUCACCCCUCUUAAGGAGCUUCCAGACCAUGUGCAGCACUAGUGUUGUGGGGGAGUAGAAGCGGGUACGCUGCUUUCCAGGGGCAGGAGCGUGUGGCAGAGCUCGUGCUGGCGGUGGCAGAGCUGCCUGCGCUGCAGCCCGUGCUGGCCCGCAGCCGCAGAGUGACAGCGAGAGCAAGCGGGGAAAUUCAGUGCAGCUCCCAAUGAAGUUGUGCUGGAGAGGGAGCAGGGCUCGUUCAGGUCGCUCCAGCAGUCCAGCGUGCAGCACUGCUCCCCAGGCAGUUAUGCUAGCAUCACUGGUGGGCGCAAGAUCAAACAAAAUCAAAAUGGGGCGGGUCUUCAAAGUGAUUUUAUUUUACUAUUUUUAUUUACUUUUACUGUAUUUAUAAGACUGAAUUAACACAAAUGACGAUAGCUAGUAUCUCUUUAGAACAAUCACUGCUUUCAAAUCCUGUUAGGUCUCUGAGCAUGAAGUAUUUCGUGUCCUCUAUAGGUGGUGCUAGAGAUCCAGUUAAACUUAAGCGUAGUCCUUUCUGCUUGGUAAUGCAUGCUUCCUGUUAAACAGAUUUCACAGUUUCCUGCUUUUGACACUUUCCCAGGUACAAAUGGUAAAAAUAUUUCAAAAGCCACUUUUAUAAGAAGUUACAAAAGGCCUAGCUGUAAACACUCCGUUAAGAUCCCAUGAAACAGAGUUAUAGCCAGAAAUUAAUCUCACAAUUUAAUAACUGUCCCUUGAGAGGGCAUGGUAAUUCGUAACAGCAUCUCUUGUAAAGCUCGCUUGCUUCCAAGCCUGUGGUAAAUAAUUCGUGUAGCCUCCUCAAGUUCUACCAUGGCCACGGAGAUCUGCAGCAAUUUGUCUCCUUCCUGAAAAAUAUAAUAUUUGGAUGGAUUUUGUUCUUCUUGCCCCAGGAUCUCAAAGCCCUUUGUGGGUGGCAAUUACCCGGGUGAGCUCAUGCACGAUGUUCGCAGAAGGUGCCGUGCUGAGCUGGAGUAAUAAACCGGCAGCCUUCUGAGCUAGGUCCUCUCUCAGCCUUACCGAUGAAACAAUGUGUGGUGUUAUAAACAUCUUCCAGCUUACCAAGACUUGAUGUGGCAGACACCUAAAAUGAAGAUGGAAGCUCAUCAAAACUGAGACUCCCUGAUGGACAUGAGACAGAGCAAGGCCGAUGAUGCAGGUCUUCUGUGUCCCAGUGUCAAAAGACUAAAGAAUACCAAUUGACCGUGGUCCAUCAUUUGCCAGACUUUCAAGGGAAGAAAAAAGGGAAAUGCUUGACACAGCACUGAGGAACAAGACAUCACAGAAGGAAAAACUGUCUUUCUCUCAGAUAAUAAGGAUAACUGGUGAUAAAAAGCUAGUAGAAAAGAUGUCUGCCCUGAGCAGGGGCCACAGCAAGCCACUGGCAUGCUUUGCAAAGGCUGUCCCUUGUCCUCCAUUUCCUCUUUUUUCAUACCAAUUUCUGAUAUCAUCCACUUGAGGUCUAUGGACUCUAGAGAGUUUGUCCUACUGCAACCAAAGUAACCCCAAGCACAGCUCAUCCAUACGUAGCAGUGAAACCAACAUCCUGGCAGGAACAGAAUUCUAUUGAUGUCUCCAGCCCUUUUACAAAGAUGGUUAGCCAUGCUUGGUGCCAGCAAUGAAGGAAUGAGAAGCACUUUUCAGUCUUCUGGCAUUUUUAAUAAUACUAAUAAAAAGUAAUAUGCCUUAUCCUCAGAAUAGGCCUUCCUGUUUUGCCUAAAAUGGUACAUUAGGUGGUUGAAAAGGCCCAAAAGGAAAUGGCUUAUGUCGUGAGGGAAAAUAAGCUGUGGGGUUUUUUUCUGAGUCUGACCCCUCCAGAUAUUGUAGAAAUACAUGUGUCUUAGCAUGUCCCGUGCCAUGGGAACAGUCACCUGGCAGCAGCGCUCAAGAGCAGAGUGCCCUGCCCACAGGGCUGGGUGCACUUGGUGGAAAUGCCUCCGUGAAGGAGCCAGGGCUCGGGGGAGAGAAGCCAGCUGGCUGUUUGCACAGUUACCGAGUACUGGCUAGUGCAGAGCAGUCACAGGGGAGUAUUUAAAUCUGAAUUAAUCUUCUUUUCUUCCCCAUGUAGAUAAGUCUUUAAUAAUAAAUCUAACUAUCAAUCCAAUUUAUAUGAAAAGACAUGAUCUAUAAAAUCCAUGUGCAGAAAGACAAAGCUCGCUCUAUAUUCAGUUCUAAAUAUAAAACUUCAUAGGAAUCUCUCCAUUGACUUCAGAGGCCUUUACGUUAGACCCCCCCAGUUAAAAUAUGAUUGAUGAUAUGAUUGGUACAAAAACUAGCAGUAACUUUAUACAAAAGAAACAAAAAGGAAGUUUGUUUUACUUGUCCUUUUACACGUUUGACAUGCCAGUCUCCUAUGCUGGGAUAGGUUCUCAAGUAUUUGUUUCACAGUUCAUUGACACAUGCAUGCAUAAUUGGUCUAUUUGCAUGUGUAAAUUUCUAUUAUUUGCUGUGCAGGUAGUUCCAUUCCUACACAUUUCAUUGUAUGGAUUCAAUUUUUGCAUUUGUUAAGCAGAAAUAUUUUGCAUUUGGGAAGAAAACUGUACCCCACACGCAAUUCUUCUGUUUACUGUGAUAACUAACAGCAAGCAUUAAAAACCUAACAAAGACAAGCAAACGUGCUCGCCAUUAAAGUAGUACAAAUUCAUACAGCCAAUAGAAAAUCAAGUUCAUCCAAAGGUUCUCCAUUCUGGACCUAUUCAUGUCAUAAAGAUGUUAAUUUCUUUAAAUAAUAGAAGACUAUCUUAUUUAAGUUUAAAUAGAAACACAAAUACUCUACCAUAAACUUAAGAUUUUUCUUCUCUUUCAUUCUACACUGUCUUUUAUUAGGGGAAAACAAUUCCAAAGCAUCUUUGGAGGGGGCUUCGUGAAAACUUAAUCCCUAUUCCUUUUAAUUUUAAAGGUGUUCUGUUUAAACAGUGCACUUAUCUUUCUUUAGUCAUGUUUGGUAAAAAUCUGGGUGUUUAGUAAUGGAAAAUUUUGUGUGACCCCUGUCCUGCUUGUUCAUUGAGCUAGCUUGUCUAAAGAAAGAAGGUAUCACUAUGGUAAUUGAGAAUAGUUUGGCAAUAAGGGGAUAGUUAGCAUGGCUGAUGAGUUAUGCCAUCAAUACCAAACUGAUUUCUAAGAUAAAUGCAACCCUGAGGCAUAACAAAGCACAAGUUAUGGCCAACUGUCUGUGUAUGUGAUCAUCUUUGAGUGAUAAUACAGCUUAGAGUUGCUUUUAUCACUAGCCUUGUAAAGCAUUCAUUCUGUUUUUUCUGGAAAGAAAAAGAUUAAAUUAAAAAGACAGUGCAGUGUUAUCAGCUAAAUUCUUUAGUUAGCUCCUGCAUUAACCUAAUCAUUGAACAAGUUACUCAGCUGACAUUAAAUGAGUCUAAGAAAAAUUGAAGUAUAAAUGAUUCAUUAGGAAAGCAAAUAAUUUGGGUUACAGUUACAGAAAUAGAAUUUGAAGCUCCUCAGUGAACACAUCAUCCUCUAUGUACAAACAGUUGAUAAUGUUAUCAAUGCAAAGCUGCCUCUGUGCUGCAUUUAAAAGCAAGUUGCCUUUAUUCCAGCUGCCACUCCAUUGAAAUCUGCUAUAAAUACCUACUUUAUAACACUGACCCAAUAUAUAAAUUGCUUAGUUCAAAAGAAAAGCUUUUUUGGGGGAAGGAGGGGAAUGGAGUAAGCGCAGUGUGUUGUAAAAGCUAAGUGGUUUUAUUGGCACUUAAAAAUACCCUUUUAUGCUGAACUCUAUCAGCUCUGAUUAUAUAUAACAACAGUAGUUAUGUAUUAAAAAUGUGUGUCAAUAGUUAUACUAACACUGUGAUUUGUCGUUUGUGUGCCGGAGGUCCUAACAGGCUUGACUGACAAAAUCUAGCCACAAACUUCAUGUUAAAGGGAUCAAAUGCUGAGAUAUGUUGUUUAUUUGGUAAAUUGAUAAGAGGUGCCAUCUCAGUUAUUUAAAUAAAAAAACUUCAUGUAUACCAACCACAAAAGUGCUAAUGCAUUCUGCAUUUACACAUCUCUUACAGAUGCCCAUCUCUAUGAAAGUGCAGAAAUCUCAACUGUCAUAUCAAGUCACCAGCCCAUCUAGUGCAGAUGGUUUAUCAAUGAAAUAAUGAAUAAAACCUCCAUUAAAGAUUAAGUAACAAAUUUACUCAUAUGUACACAGGAUGUCUGCCAUCCUCCUGUGCUCUGUGAUUUAGUGUGUGCUGCAGUGGCUGUGUGGCUAGAUGUUGGUGAUGGUAGGACCUAUGAACUUUUGCUCCUAAAACAACAUCCAUACGGCAUGAGGUAAAGGCAUGUCUCGCUAAAGGGUAUUAAGCCGUAUAAAGCCACAGAUCAGCUACUCAAAACUAGCAUACUUAAUGUGACAGAUGAGAAGGUACAGUCUUAUCUGCACUCUAGCCAGUAUGUAGCCAUUCAGGCAGCUUGUCUCUCCUAAACUUCUUAAAUAAGCAGCAUAUAAAGCAAACAGUAACACAAUUACUUGCAAAGGUCAGUAAAGCUUUUAAAUGUAUGGUUUUAAAACAGUGCUGUAUAUAAAAUAGUGAAUAAAGUGUCAUUACACUUGACACAAGUGAAGCUGCCCUCAGCAGGUGUUAAGUCUGUUUUGGUCAGCGAGAGGAACCACUUUUUCUAAACUGGCUUGCUCUGUUUCCAUGUGCAUUCACUGGCUAUGAAAUGAACUAUCCCUCAGGACAUUUCACUCCUGGAAUUCUCCACCUCGGCUAUACUGUAUAGAAAUUUGGGUAAAAUGGAGGAAGCAAUUUAAUACUAAAAUUCCCAAGAGUUUGGUUGUUUUGGUGAGGUGUAGCUAUGUUACACAUUGUACAUAAAAAUGAGUUCUGAAAACCCUCUCUUGGCAAUCAUAGCUCUUCUAGUAGGAGUUAGAUCAAUGACUUUAUAUAGAGAAUUGUUAAGACCUCACUGAGUAGUGAGGUCUUUGUUUUGGUUUCAAGCUGUUUUCUUCUCAGCUGAAGACCAAGCAGUUAAAUCCCUGCAUGAUCAGCCAGCUGUUUUUUCACCAUUAGUGAGGGUGCUUUGAACAAUGUGCCACAGCUGGAGAACAUGCACCUUCUUGCCCACAUAUAGACCAACUGCCAUCACCUUUGAAACCGUUUCUUUUGAGCUGCAUCUUCACGUCCCAGCUCCUCUUAAUGGCACAAAGGCUCUGACCUGCAUUCACUGAGCGAACGGCCGUGGGCGCUGGAGAAGUCACCCUCUUUACAGCUCUCCUUGUCUUCUGCGGCAGAGCUGCCAUGCCGGAAGCUAGCCUUAGUUGAACGGAGCAUUUGGCAGCGCUGCUGUUGCUCUGUUCACUUUUAAGAAUAAAAAUCCAUUGUCGUAGAUGCCUUAAACUACUGUGCAGUACUGCAAACAAGGAUGGCUGGGGCAGGGGGUGAGUUUUCUGCUCUGGAAACAGUGACCUCCAACAGAGAGCAGGAGGGCAGCUGGGAGCAGCAAGGUUGUAACGUGCUUUGGUAAGCCGCUCCGGGCUUGUUGUCAGAGCCCUGUGCCAGAAUGACUCCAGGAAGGAAUGUCCUGUCAAAUAUUAGUGGUGGCUGAUAUCAAUGAGACCCCAUAAGGAUGGGAAAUUUGCAGAAUUAUAGCUUUAGGGUGACAAACAUGGCCUUGUUGCUCUAUUUGUAAGGCACCUACCAUAGUUUUAGUGGCUUAUGAAUAAAAGGUAAAAGAAAUAAUCAUUUCAAAACAUCUUUGUUUUAAAACUCCGUUUAUAACUUUGCAGUCUAACCUGAGGAGGAUAGUGACAAAGGCUGACCAUCACCUAAUGAGGCUAAUCACACCCUGCUCUCUCCAUAUCAGCGGAGGGAAACAGUUUUCUCCUGGGGUGACUCAGAACAGCGUUAACUUUGAUGUACCCUUUGGAAGAGCUUUGCUUUUUGUUUUGCUACAUGGUGGAACUAAGCUCAUGAGGCUGAAAUUAGCCUUUGAGAGUAUUUCCUGUAAAGGCAAGUGAUGCCUGAGACUCCCUUCUUUCCUCCAUGCUCGUUCAGUUUAGAAGCACUUGUUUUCAGUUUUAUAAGGAGAAAGUUCACUAAAUGAAACUUAGAUUUUUUCUUUUAUUUUGAAAGAAGCUGAAGCUUCUUUGUAAAAUGUAUGUUUCAGUGAUAAUCUCUGGGUAACCAGCAUGUUAUCCAAGUGAUGCCUAAAUGCUUCUGGUUGCAGAUGCUCUGUUCAGGAGCAGCAGUAUCCUGGUUCUUCAGUUGUGUACAAAAUGCAUCAAAUCAAUUACAGAGCCAGUUCUGUUAGUAGCCUUAAGAUGUCACUAACUGACUUGGCCUUGGCUUUUUCUGCUGUUUUGCAGCAGAGCUUAGGCUGGAGAAACGGAAAUGGACUGUUAUUUUUAACACAUCUGCCACCUCCUACAGUGACUGACAGACAAGGUGCUGAUGUCAAUUGACUAGUGUUACAGGUAUUAAUUAAGUCAACUAAAAGUCCUUUUAGUUUCUAUUUCCUUCUGCAGGGACGACUAGCCUACGUAAACGGGAGAUGCAAGGAGAGGAGGCGAGCUCUGGAGUGAUCAGCAGCUCAAUACGCUCCAGGAGGAAGUCGGGCUUUGGGAGCCAGCAGAAACAUCUGUGGAUUUGCUCAUGCCUUAAUGAGCUGCUUGAAGAAAUACUCGUGUGAGGGCCUCAGCUGACCGUUUGCUUUAUCACAAGGGCUAUGUUAAGCAUCUCAGUGUUUGUCACUCACAUUUUUGUUCUGUUUCUGUCUUUCGCCACUCCCUGGUCUCCCCACAUGUUACGCUGAGUUGCUGAAGCUACCUCUGUGGUGCCAUCCUGAUCCUUGCUCGCUCCAAGCAACUCUGGUUAUUUUUCCCCUCUGACUGAAUUAAAGUCUGUUCAGAAAAUG